Salvia miltiorrhiza (redroot sage) is the source of this 392-nucleotide long non-coding RNA. RefSeq lists it as uncharacterized. Lineage: Eukaryota; Viridiplantae; Streptophyta; Magnoliopsida; Lamiales; Lamiaceae. The transcript is spliced from 3 exons. The record is from RefSeq and is a predicted model, not a curated record.
UCCUUUUUGCAAAGUUAACAUCACUAAGACACUACCCACUCCCACCACCAACUCCCUGCAAAAAGCAUGCCUACUGCAGCACACCCACUGAUAUACUUCACCCAUCCCCUUCCACUUCUACUCAAUCUCCCACACAAUUUGCCAUAUUUCACUCUCACAAGGAAACCCAACGAACAAGUGCAGAGGCUUUGAGCAUCAUGAGGAUUAGCACUGCUAUUCCGAUUCAGAGAUAACGUUAAACGACAGGCAUUGCCUAUACAGGUUGAGCAGUUGAUGGAAUGGAAUGAUGUUGAGCGGGUGUUCCUUUGACAUUUCAAGAAAUGUAACCUUGAGUAUACAUCUUCAUAUGUAUAUCUCACACUUUUUCCGCUGCAAAACACUUUGAUUAGGAU